GUGCUCACUUCGACAGCACACAUACUAAAAUUGGAAUGAUACAGAGAUUAGCAUGACAUGGCCCCUGUACAAGGAUGACAUGCAAAUUUGUGAAGUAUAUAUUUUAAAU
Molecule: small nuclear RNA, 109 nt
Organism: Myotis lucifugus (little brown bat)
Lineage: Eukaryota; Metazoa; Chordata; Mammalia; Chiroptera; Vespertilionidae
Source: Ensembl